Molecule: ribosomal RNA, 118 nt
Filed under: Pteropus alecto (black flying fox)
Lineage: Eukaryota; Metazoa; Chordata; Mammalia; Chiroptera; Pteropodidae
Source: RNAcentral
UUUUAAAGUCUGCUACCCUGAACAAACCCGAUCCCGUCUGAUCUCAGAAUCUAAGCAGGGUCAGGCCUGGUUACUACUUGGAUGGGAGACCACCUAGGAAGACCAGGUGCUAUAGGCA